This 351-nucleotide ribosomal RNA is filed under the name uncultured bacterium. RNAcentral describes it as "partial 16S ribosomal RNA". It matches the Rfam family "Bacterial small subunit ribosomal RNA", at positions 338 to 681 of the family's 1533-position model. The record is from RNAcentral.
CCUACGUGGGGCAGCAGUAGGGAAUCUUCCACAAUGGACGAAAGUCUGAUGGAGCAACGCCGCGUGAGUGAAGAAGGGUUUCGGCUCGUAAAGCUCUGUUGGUAGUGAAGAAAGAUAGAGGUAGUAACUGGCCUUUAUUUGACGGUAAUGACGGAGAAAGUCACGGCUAACUACGUGCCAGCAGCCGCGGUAAUACGUAGGUGGCAAGCGUGGUCCGGAGUUAUUGGGCGUAACGCGAGUGCAGGCGGGUCCAUAAGUCUGAGGUGAAAGCCUUCGGCUCAACCGGAGAAUUGCCUCCGAACCUUUUGAACUUGAGUGCAUCAGAGGCGAGUGGCACUCCAUGUGUAGCGG